Molecule: ribosomal RNA, 77 nt
Filed under: Flavobacterium psychrophilum
Lineage: Bacteria; Pseudomonadati; Bacteroidota; Flavobacteriia; Flavobacteriales; Flavobacteriaceae
Description: partial 16S ribosomal RNA
Rfam family: Bacterial small subunit ribosomal RNA
Source: RNAcentral
ACGAUGAAGAGUUUGAUCCUGGCUCAGGAUGAACGCUAGCGGCAGGCUUAACACAUGCAAGUCGAGGGGUAGAAUAG